RNAcentral lists this ribosomal RNA (600 nucleotides) under uncultured soil bacterium. Its description in RNAcentral is "bacterial SSU rRNA". It matches the Rfam family "Bacterial small subunit ribosomal RNA", at positions 28 to 604 of the family's 1533-position model. The record is from RNAcentral.
AAUGAACGCUGGCGGCGUGCUUAACACAUGCAAGUCGAACGAGGCGGAAGGGGGCAACUCCUUCCAGUCGAGUGGCGGACGGGUGAGUAACACGUGGGUAACCUGCCCGGAGGUGGGGAAUACCUCGGGGAAACUCGAGCUAAUUCCGCAUGACAUCUUCGGGACGAAAGUCCUGACGAUCAAAGCGGGGUCGCAAGAUCUCGCGCUACCGGAUGGGCCCGCGCCCGAUUAGCUAGUUGGUGAGGUAACGGCUCACCAAGGCUUCGAUCGGUAACCGGCCUGAGAGGGCGAUCGGUCACACCGGAACUGAGACACGGUCCGGACUCCUACGGGAGGCAGCAGUGGGGAAUCUUGCGCAAUGGGCGAAAGCCUGACGCAGCAACGCCGCGUGGAGGAUGAAGGCCCUUGGGUUGUAAACUCCUGUCGGCUGGGAAGAAAUCAUACGGUGCUAAUACCACCGUGUGUUGACUGUACCAGCAAAGGAAGCCCCGGCUAACUCUGUGCCAGCAGCCGCGGUAAUACAGAAGGGGCCAGCGUUAUUCGGAAUUAUUGGGCGUAAAGGGCGCGUAAGCGGCCAUGCGUGUCUUCCGUGAAAAUUCC